GAUGAGAACGCAGCGAAAUGCGAUAACUAAUGUGAAUUGCAGAAUUCAGUGAAUCAUCGAGUCUUUGAACGCACAUUGCGCCCCCUGGUAUUCCGGGGGGCAUGCCUGUCCGAGCGUCAUUGCUGCCCUCAAGCACGGCUUGUGUGUUGGGCUCCGUCCCCCCGGGGACGGGCCCGAAAGGCAGCGGCGGCACCGAGUCCGGUCCUCGAGCGUAUGGGGCUUUGUCACCCGCUCUGUAGGCCCGGCCGGCGCCAGCCGACAACCCAUCAUCCUUUUCAGGUUGACCUCGGAUCAGGUAGGGAUACCCGCUGAACUUAAGCAUAUCAAUAAGCGGAGGA
This 338-nucleotide unclassified non-coding RNA is filed under the name soil metagenome. RNAcentral's name for it is "partial contains 5.8S ribosomal RNA, internal transcribed spacer 2, and large subunit ribosomal RNA". The stretch from base 5 to 119 matches the Rfam family "5.8S ribosomal RNA", at positions 40 to 154 of the family's 154-position model. The record is from RNAcentral.